GUACCUUGUGGAUCGUAUUGCACAAUUCGCUUUCCAGCGCCCAUUGUCGAGCACUUGCCACGGUCAAUGGCUUAAUCAGUGCUGCAGCCCAGUCCAUGACACCACUGACCUUGUGCCACUUGAAGUCGACCCAGACAGAAGUGAAAACAAAAUCCCUAUUCAAAUUUGUAAGCUACACUGGCAAUGGGACUCAGUCUAAGACUGGGACUGGAACUGGGACUGAGACUGGGACUGCGACUGGGGCUGGAACUGUUGCCAUUCCCUGCCUGGCCACAUGUCUGACUUGAACUUGAAGUGCGGAACCAGAUGUAAAAAUGCGAGCGAGAAACGAGGCAAUCCAGCUACCGAUGGAAAAGUGAAAAACAAUCUUAAAAUUGUGCAAUAAAAGUUUAAAGAAUAAAAACAAAAGGAUCGACAUAAAAUUGACGAAAAGAAAGAAAGAAGUUAAUUAAGACUGAGUCGAAAAAAAGUGUUGGUGUUUUGUUGGCGUGAUCGUGCAGUUAUUGCCCCAUAAACUCGCCCACAAAUAUUUAAAAAAGUUUAUUGCAUUUGCAA
This is a long non-coding RNA of Drosophila innubila, 555 nucleotides long. RefSeq lists it as uncharacterized. The record is from RefSeq and is a predicted model, not a curated record. The transcript is spliced from 2 exons. NCBI's taxonomy places the organism in Eukaryota, Metazoa, Arthropoda, Insecta, Diptera, Drosophilidae.